AUAGUAAGAAGCAACCGACUUCAUAUUGUGUUGGGCAUCGAUGAUCCUCCCUUAGCCGCAGCCAUAGGUGUGGUUAAUAACAUCGUAGUAACAAUACUUACAAUACCUAUCAUAGCAGUCACUGCUCGACCGGCAGUAUCCGCCGCAACCACUCAUCAAACUCUUACCACCAGUUACUCACUACUCGACCGGCAGUAUCAGCCGCAACCACUCAUCAAACUCUUACCACCAGUUAGUUUUGA
Molecule: long non-coding RNA, 242 nt
Filed under: Nicotiana benthamiana
Lineage: Eukaryota; Viridiplantae; Streptophyta; Magnoliopsida; Solanales; Solanaceae
Description: long non-coding RNA (NBEN_LNC026690)
Source: RNAcentral